CCAGGUCUCAGUGCUGUGUCCCCCCAGAGCCUAGAGGAUGUUUCAUGGGAUCCCAGCCACUCCGGGCAUAGGAGCCCCUGGGAACAAGCCGGAGCUGUAUGAGGUGAGUGGUGGGUGCCCACCCGGCCGGCAUUGGCCAACAGCAAAUGCCUGUGUGGCCUCACCAGGGUCCUGCAGCCCCUGUUGGCACUGGCCCACAGAGCCCGCUCUCUCCGGCAGGAAGUGAAGUUGUACAAGAACGCCCGGGAGAGGGAGAAGUAAGUCCAGGCGCCCAGGCUGUCCCAACACACCCAUGCGCAUCUGGCUGCCCUGGGGCAGCCCCUCCAGACCCACCCCAAACUGAGGGGUGGGAGGACGCAGGGUCAGUCUGGGGAACUGUUCCUGAGGCACUCCAGGAUGGAGCGAGAGGUGGGCAGAGCGCCCGCAGUGGCACCUCCAGGCAGGGGGUAGCACUCUGGGCUCUAGGCUUGGCACCCCGGGGCCUGGCCCGAUAGACAGGUGUGUCCUCAGGUACGACAACAUGGCAGAGCUGUUUGCGGUGGUGAAGACAAUGCAAGCCCUGGAGAAGGCCUACAUCAAGGACUGUGUCUCCCCCAGCGAGUAAGAGCCCACGUCCUGGGAGGUCUGUUCCUGCCCUGGGGGGCUCGGGUGCUCCAUAGGCAGCAAGAGCAGGUGUCUGUCAGGCUGGGAGGCACCCACUUGUGUGGGGCCCACCCAGCGUGAGGAGGGUGCCCCUGGGUCUCAGCCAGGGAAGUCCUGGGGGCUGGUGAGGGAGGCGGGCAGAGGCGCAGCUCCUGGGGUGUCAUCCGGCCCACUCCCCCACCCUCAUCCCCCAGCACAGGCAACCUUAAAAAACGGUCGAGAGGCUUGGGGAUGUCCCAGGAUCUUUUGGGGGGGCUUUGUUCAAUGAAGUGACAAGACCGUCACAGGCCACCCCACAGGACCAUGAGCUGUGGAUGCGGCCAUCACAACAGAGGGCUGGUCGCUGUGGUUCAGAGGGUGGGCAGGGGUUGGGGGCCGGGGCCUCCACCUGGAGCUGAGCUACAAGCCCCACUACGUGCUCAGGGCCUCACCCCCAAAAGCUACUAGCAGCCCCUCCUCCUUGCUCGGCCUGCCUUUGCCUGUCGCCUGGUCCUCUCUGGAAGCUGCUCUGCCUCUGGACCAGCCGAGGGGGUAGGAUGAGCUGGGUGGGGCUGGUCCCAUGCUUGGGCAGCAGCUGACUUCUCCCUAGGUACACUGCAGCCUGCUCCCGACUCCUGGUCCAAUACAAAGCUGCCUUCAGGCAGGUCCAGGGCUCAGAAAUCAGCUCUAUUGACGAAUUCUGCCGCAAGUUCCGCCUGGACUGCCCGCUGGCCAUGGAGCGGAUCAAGGAGGACCGGCCCAUCACCAUCAAGGACGACAAGGGCAACCUCAACCGCUGCAUUGCAGACGUGGUCUCGGUGCGCCCCAGCCCCCAGGGCACGUGGUUAGGAGGGCCGAGGCUGCCUGCUGCAGCUGGGCACGAGCGUAGGGUCCUGGGCCUCCAGAGCUGAGCAGCACUCUGACUUGCUGGGCAGAAGGGAACCCCUUUAACUAGGAAUGAGGGGUGGGCAGCAUGCGGGGACGCCCCCAGGCCACCUGGACUCCUGUCGGGGGGAUGAGCACAGGGUGCGUUCUGGCGGAGUCCUGGCCUCGGGAGAGAGUGUGGGUGUGGGCCCACCCUUCAGUUCCCACACAGCUGUCUGGGCAGCCAGGACCUCGUUCACCCAGGAGGCCUGCAGGGUUUGGGAACAGAGUGCAGUGAGGAGGCCCAAGUGACAGCUAUGGCUGAGGAGGGGUUGGGGCCCGUGAGCCGUGGGGCCUCCCGCACCCCUGGACACGCGAGCCUCAUGUGCACACCCGCCCCCAGCUCUUCAUCACGGUCAUGGACAAGCUGCGCCUGGAGAUCCGCGCCAUGGAUGAGAUCCAGCCCGACCUGCGAGAGCUGAUGGAGACCAUGCACCGCAUGAGCCACCUCCCACCCGACUUCGAGGGCCGCCAGACGGUCAGCCAGUGGCUGCAGACCCUGAGCGGCAUGUCGGCGUCAGAUGAGCUGGACGACUCACAGGUGCGUCAGAUGCUGUUCGACCUGGAGUCAGCCUACAACGCCUUCAACCGCUUCCUGCAUGCCUGAGCCCGGGGCGCCAGCCCUUGCACAGAAGGGCAGAGUCUGAGGCGAUGGCUCCUGGUCCCCUGUCCGCCACACAGGCCCUGGUCAUCCACACAACUCACUGUCUGCAGCUGCCUGUCUGGUGUCUGUCUUUGGUGUCAGAACUUUGGGGGCCGGGCCCCUCCCCACAAUAAAGAUGCUCUCCGAC
RNAcentral lists this small RNA (2336 nucleotides) under Pan troglodytes (chimpanzee). RNAcentral describes it as "retained intron". Lineage: Eukaryota; Metazoa; Chordata; Mammalia; Primates; Hominidae. The record is from RNAcentral.